AAUACAGCUGUGAGUACCCAUCACAGACUGCUAAAAGCACAGAAAUAGCCCUGCUGUCCUGAGAUGAGCACUCACUCUUCUUCAUUCCUCUGCUUUUUGAAGUGUUCCAAGGUCUCCAGUUGAGUUGUCAAGUAUAUCAUUCAAUAAGGAUUUGAGUGCCGCCCAGACUGCCUUGCCCCUUCCUUGCUGAUGUCAAAUGGCAGAGGUUGGAGGAACUGGUGUCUAUAUAGAAAAAUACAAUCUGCAAACCAAUAACUGGAGUAGCAGUAGCAGCUGAUGGAGAAGAAAAGGUGACCCACUGCGGACUCCUGGAAGAUCGUGAAGUCCACACAGAUACCAAAGAGAUUGCACCUCUGCUGGAUAAAGAGAGAAGUUCAAAGAGGAAGCUCCUUAAGAUGCCAUUGAUUUUUCAUUAACAUGAAUGACUUUUAGAAUUUCCCUGUUUAGACUGAGAGCUCUCUGAAGCGGAGGCUGUUUUGAUAAACUGUGUGUACAGCACCUUACACAAUGGACCUCUGAUCCUGCAUCUCUGCAUUAUGGCAAUGCAAAUAAAUAUACGAAUAGCUGUCCUUGAAAGGUAAGGAAA
Non-coding RNA from Struthio camelus australis, 586 nucleotides. The record is from RefSeq and is a predicted model, not a curated record. NCBI's taxonomy places the organism in Eukaryota, Metazoa, Chordata, Aves, Struthioniformes, Struthionidae.